RNAcentral lists this ribosomal RNA (502 nucleotides) under uncultured bacterium. RNAcentral's name for it is "bacterial SSU rRNA". It matches the Rfam family "Bacterial small subunit ribosomal RNA", at positions 28 to 526 of the family's 1533-position model. The record is from RNAcentral.
GAUGAACGCUAGCGGCAGGCCUAAUACAUGCAAGUCGAGGGGCAGCAUCAUCGCUUGCGAUGGAUGGCGACCGGCGCACGGGUGCGUAACGCGUAUGCAACCUACCCUAUACAGGGGGAUAGCCCGGAGAAAUUCGGAUUAAUACCCCAUGGUAUUAUUGAAUGGCAUCGUUUAAUGAUUAAAGAUUUAUUGGUAUAGGAUGGGCAUGCGUCUGAUUAGUUAGUUGGUGAGGUAACGGCUCACCAAGGCAAUGAUCAGUAGGGGUUCUGAGAGGAUGAUCCCCCACACUGGCACUGAGAUACGGGCCAGACUCCUACGGGAGGCAGCAGUAGGGAAUAUUGGUCAAUGGGCGAGAGCCUGAACCAGCCAUGCCGCGUGCAGGAAGACGGCCUUCUGGGUUGUAAACUGCUUUUAACAGGGAACAAAAAGGCUCUGCGGAGCAAAUUGCGUGUACCUGAAGAAUAAGCACCGGCUAACUCCGUGCCAGCCGCCGCCGUAACAC